AUUGAGCGCUGGCGGCAUGCCUUACACAUGCAAGUCGAACGGUAACAGGUCUUCGGAUGCUGACGAGUGGCGAACGGGUGAGUAAUACAUCGGAACGUGCCUAGUAGUGGGGGAUAACUACUCGAAAGAGUGGCUAAUACCGCAUGAGAGCUACGGAUGAAAGCAGGGGAUCGCAAGACAUUGUGCUACUAGGAAGGCCGUUGGCAGACAAGGGCAGUGGGGGGAGAAAAGCUUACCAAGCCGACGAUCUGUAGCUGGUCUGAGAAGACGAUCAGCCACACUGGGACUGAGAAACGGCCCAGACUCCUACGGGAGGCAGCAGUGGGGAAUUUUGGACAAUGGGCGCAAGCCUGAUCCAGCAAUGCCGCGUGCAGGAUGAAGGCCUUCGGGUUGUAAACUGCUUUUGUACGGAACGAAAAGCCCCGGGUUAAUACCCUGGGGUCAUGACGGUACCGUAAGAAUAAGCACCGGCUAACUACGUGCCAGCAGCCGCAGUAA
RNAcentral lists this ribosomal RNA (498 nucleotides) under uncultured bacterium. RNAcentral's name for it is "partial 16S ribosomal RNA". It matches the Rfam family "Bacterial small subunit ribosomal RNA", at positions 30 to 523 of the family's 1533-position model. The record is from RNAcentral.